UUUGGUUAAAAUGAGCAUCUAAAUAUAACGCAAAAAAAAAAAAAAAAAAUUUCCAGGGCUAAAAUGACUGUCUCACCUUGUGCGCUGUGUGGUAGAGCGAGAGGAACGGGCAGUCUCAGAAAGCAUGAAGAUGGAAGUAUGUCUGUUCAUCUAAAUCUGAAAAGUACGUAACAUUGAGCAUUCACAUUGGGCUUCUCUCGGUUUGUUUUUUGGUUUGUUGGUUUUUUUUUCUCCUUUCCUGUUUUCUUUUCUUUCCUGGUGUGCAGCUUGGUCUCCCUAAAUCACAUAGGCAGAAGAGCUCAUUCUGUCAGUUUUAUACUGUAACUUCCAGACUGUUAUGCUACAUGGAUUUCACAGAUUGCUUUUAUUUCUUCUGACCAUGUUUGUCUGAGCGACUGUGGCCUCUCUGGUACAUUUACACUUCAGAUCAAGUCUGCAUGCAGGGGCAAACACUAUGUUACUAUAUUGCUUUCCGUAGAAAAGGACUUCACUCUAGAGAGCAUAACUGUAGAUGGAAAGAUUCUCAGUUGGCAGACAGCAUCUCAGAAAUUUUCUAGUACAGGAGAAUUCUUGAAGGAGUUAAAUGGUUGCAAUUUGAUUUAAUCUUUGGCAUCUGUAGCUGAAAAUCAACUUUGGAGGAACAGUUAGAGAUAUGCGUAGAUUUGUUCACAUGUGUGUGUGCUAAUGCUUGGUUUUUCUUUAAGUAUUCACGGAAAAAGAUGGUCUUUACUGAGGAAUAAUAUCUAAACCUAUGAGAGAAAUAUUCACGCAUUGUAGCAUGUUCUCAACAGGAACAGUUUGAAAUGCAAGAUCAGUAUUUCGUCACAUACAAUGGCAGUGGUCUACAUUGGAUGUAUAAAACAUGAACAGGGAAUUUUAAACAAAGUAAAACAUAAUCUAGAAGGGUUUAUGGACAUUAGAGCAAAACAUUCUAGAAUGGAUAUCAUUAAACCUCAAUAAAUUUACUAUAAGCAACAUUUAUAUGCACAGAUUUUACUGAGUUACUUGUACAACUUACAAAAAACACUUAAAGCAUGGUCCCCUGAGAGGCCAAGAAAGUUUCUGGUUAAGUUCUCCUUCAUAUUCAUUAAUUUACCACUUACAGCUUAAUUUUGUUUGUUUGUUUGGUUGGUUUGUUUUUAAUGUAAGACUGGGGGAGGGAUAGAAAUACAAAAUGACGGAAUUCUCAGGAAACAUAUCGCUUAACUUCUUGCCAAAAAGUCAACACCUAAAGAAGCUCCAAAAAUAAUUUCUAAGUAGAGGAUGGUAUUUGUUGAUUGAUAAUUUGUAAAAAUUAGAGCAUCAAUCAACCGUGUUCCUCUUUUUUUUCUUUUUUAAAUAAGAUCAUUUCCUGCCUCUAGUCAAAUUAAAUUAUUUAGUGUUAAAUGUUCACAACUUUAUACAAUGUGUGUAAGUGCAAUAUGUAAACAUGUAUGAAAUCAUGUUAAAAAUGAAAUAUAGUAAUACAGCUAAGAAAAGUGGCUUUUGGAAUAUGAAUAUCUGGUAAGUUACGGUCAGUUCUAAGUCUGGAAAAGAGAUAUAUUAGUUUUCAUAUGAAAUUAACUGAUUUCAUGACUGUGGGAAUACAAUAUUGUGUAUUUUUCUACAGUAACUGGGAAUCUUUACUUCCUCCACCACCUGCUUGGCUUUACCACUCCUUUCUACCUUAACCCUUCCUGCAAAAGUUAAGAAAUAGGGAAAUAGGGAUGCUUAUGUUUUGGGGUGGAAGAAGAAUCACCUCCCUUGAUAUAUUAUAAAGGGGGCAUUGAUACAUGUUCCUGCCUUCCCUGGCAUUUUAAGGUGAAAACAUUCUUAAUGUUCAUGGGUCAGUAAUGGGCUAAAACCACUAGAUACUCUUUUUCAUGUAACCAGUUCUUAAUGCCAAUAAUGCAUUUAUGAUCCACCUUCUUCAUAAAUGCUACCGGAAACUUUAAGGCCAAAAUAUAGUGUGCAGAGCUAUUUUUUUAACCCAGAAACAGUGGAACUUCCUCUAUGCUAAAGGAGCAGCUACAUCAAGGGUUUUAAGGGAUGUAGCUGCUUUUUAUUGUAUCUUAUUUAUACAUGUAAAAAAGGAUGGAGGGGAGAAAGGAUGUUGCCUCUUGCUUUGAUGUGAUUUUAUUCUAAGGGCUCUGAUAUUUAGGCUGAUAGAAGUUGGCUUGGAAGCAGUGCUUAGUCUCACAUGUUACCAUUGUCCGGGGAUGUCUGAGCUAUUUUCAGAUGUAGUAACAGCACAGUGUUGUCUUCGGUUGCAGUCUCUCUCGGCUCAGUUUCUUGCACCGCUGGAGUGUUCAUUACCACUGAAGUGUAUUGGAACAACAGAGUGAUGCAAGAUGUGUAUAUCAACAGUAGAGGAUGGAUUGUGCCCUUGGUGUUAACAAUGUGCCUUUUGUUCCAAAUGCCGGUGGUAGGGCAUGCAUCUUGGCCUCUUUAACCCUCAGAAUACUGGAUAGUAGGGAUGAAAUCUUUUUAAAUGCUAUACUUGUCUUAGAACAUCCUGUAGAUGAUCAAGGCCUUAAUAGAAACAAUAAGGCAAUCACACUGCUAGGGUAGAGAGGACACACUGUUCUUGGAGUACGUUUCAUUAAGGGGUUAAAGAUGGCCCUUCCUCAUUGGUUGUAUUUUAACAUCAAAUUGAAUUUUUUUUUCUUUGAUAAAUUUUUGUUAUGGUGACACUAGACAGUAAUCAACUGUGUUUGUAAAAAUUUACCUCAAACUCUUUAGUUUUAUAGUGUGAUUUAAUCCCAGGGCAUUUGGUAUGAACCAAAGUGCAUUCCUUUUAUAUGUGCCUGGCUCUUAUAAAGGUGGCCAGGGAUUUUUACAAUUUGGGUGCAAGGCACUUAAGCCACUUUUAACUUGGUGGGUGGUUUGGAGUUAUAAAUGACUUCAUGGGAAUGUUGAAAACACUUUAGACAUAAGUAGCAUUGGGCAAUAUUAGAAUCUUUAGGAAAGGGUGUGCAUUAUUUAAUGCUCUCCAUUUUUUUAGUAUUUUUUUCCCAUCAAUAAUAUUUGUGAUAAGUACAAAAAGAACUCUUCCAGUCAGCAAAGAUUAGAAUAUUGCCCAGUUUAAUGCUAUGGUAGCAUUUAAAUAACAUUUGUGAAUUAUUGUUUCUAGGGGCUUGUACAUCUCUGCUACAAAUUGUGAUUACUCAGUUCAACUGCUACAAUUACGUCUAAGCAGUAGCUUGGGUUUUUAUUGGGCAACGACUUAGACACGUGACUGUAAUAUGCUGCAACUGUGUGUACUGAAAACGUGAAAAACGAUUGAAUGUGGACUGUGUAUAUAUUUAUGUAUAAUUUUCUGUGAGAUGCUGCUGUUGCCACUUCACAUUAAAGAUGUUGUAGUGGGUUUUAAUCCUAGUGGCCAGUUCUAUGAUACUGUAUGUAUUGUACAGCUGAUGACAGGAGUUAAGACUGUUCUAGUGAAUAUUUGUUACAUUUUAUUGUUGUGGCCAGAGAUCAUUUCAGAAUAAAAUUUUAUGUC
This is a long non-coding RNA of Strigops habroptila (Kakapo), 3481 nucleotides long. Lineage: Eukaryota; Metazoa; Chordata; Aves; Psittaciformes; Psittacidae. The record is from Ensembl.